AAGAGGCCCAAGGGCCUGGCGCUCAGCUGAAAUGGAUAGGUGAAGGCAAGGGCCAAGUGUGUGUCGGUACCGUUAUUAUGAGGCAACGUGAAGCUAUAACGUCUAGCACGCAGAAGUGCUGGUGCGAAGACCUUCUUGCUAUAUCAGUGCAUGCUGAAGUACUGAGUUGACGUCACCCUGCUAUAUGACGUUGCCGUUGCAGUAGUGGGGUGUGUGAUGACGUCAAGGAGUUGUGUGGUGACGUCAAAGAGUGGAGUCCUUGUCUUCAUGCAGCGUAGGUGGAACUAAUAACAUGCACAUGGACACAAGCCAACAGUACAACCAUGCACAGCGCAGUGUACAGACAGUACAGGAUUGCAAACCAAAAACAUGAGCAUUGCUGCCUAACGAAACUGCAGUGGAAUUCAUACUACGAUGUCAUAAUGUGACUUUCAAAAUAAUUUUUUUCACGGCCAAUGACCAGACAGGGAGAAAACAAACGUAAAUGGCGAGAUUUGUUGCAAAAUUGCCAACCACAACAACUCAGGGACCGCUUGUGGUAUUCGACUCGAUGACUCGACGACGCGAUGGCUCGAUGACGCGAUCGUUGCUAUGGAUUUUGCUAAAAUACGGAAUCCCAUGAUCCUGGUCUCCGGGCUACCGCUGCAACAGCAGAGGUUUUAGCUCGGCCUUUCCCAUACCCAGCUACGGUAUGUGGA
Long non-coding RNA from Lineus longissimus, 698 nucleotides. RefSeq lists it as uncharacterized. NCBI's taxonomy places the organism in Eukaryota, Metazoa, Nemertea, Pilidiophora, Heteronemertea, Lineidae. The record is from RefSeq and is a predicted model, not a curated record. The transcript has 3 exons.